UACAGAGGUCUCAAGCGUUGUUCGGAUUCAUUGGGCGUAAAGGGUGUGUAGGUGGCGCUGUAAGUCAGGUGUGAAAUUUCGGAGCUUAACUCCGAAACUGCAUUUGAUACUGCGGUGCUUGAGGACUGGAGAGGAGACUGGAAUUUACGGUGUAGCAGUGAAAUGCGUAGAUAUCGUAAGGAAGACCAGUGGCGAAGGCGGGUCUCUGGACAGUUCCUGACACUGAGACACGAAGGCCAGGGGAGCAAACGGG
This 253-nucleotide ribosomal RNA is filed under the name uncultured bacterium. RNAcentral's name for it is "partial 16S ribosomal RNA". It matches the Rfam family "Bacterial small subunit ribosomal RNA", at positions 524 to 776 of the family's 1533-position model. The record is from RNAcentral.